This 444-nucleotide long non-coding RNA is filed under the name Chinchilla lanigera (long-tailed chinchilla). RNAcentral's name for it is "lncRNA (ENSCLAG00000026596.1)". Lineage: Eukaryota; Metazoa; Chordata; Mammalia; Rodentia; Chinchillidae. The record is from RNAcentral.
CUCACAUGGGAAGAUUGACAUAGUCAUAUUCAAUUUGGAAAUGACUAAAUUUUCUGUAGACACUGCUGGACAAGUCAUCGAGCAAGGAAUUGAUGGGGAGCUGCAGCGGAAUGGAUGUGCAUAGCACAUCCACUGAAUUAUUAUUUUUGAGGAAGAACUUGAGAGGUCAGAUGUCUGUCUACUUCUUUCAUGUCACAAGAUUUCAUUAUAAAGAAUAACUCACUACAAAUCACAUUCUUCUCCAAAAAGCAGAGCUAACUCCAAAUUAUGUGACAGCGGACGGGGUGUGCAGAGCAAGAGGAAGUAUGACUGUGCUUCCUGGAAGCAGAAGCUGUUUGGCCCCAUCUUUGCAUCCUUGUGCCUGGCACACAGAAGGUAUUCAAUGAUAGUUAUUCACUAGGUAAAUCUAGCUUGUAGAUCUCUUCUUUGGGUAUGAUUGAUUGC